AUUGAACGCUGGCGGCAGGCCUAACACAUGCAAGUCGAGCGGAUGAAGGGAGCUUGCUCCUGGAUUCAGCGGCGGACUGGUGAGUAAUGCCUAGGAAUCUGCCUGGCAGUGGGUGAUAACGUCCGGAAACGGGCGCUAAUACCGCAUACGUCCUGAGGGAGAAAGUGGGGGAUCUUCGGACCUCAUGCUAUCAGAUGAGCCUAGGCCGGAUUAGCUAGUUGGUGGGGUAAAGGCCUACCCAGGCGACGAUCCGUAACUGGUCUGACUGGAUGAUCAGUCACACUGGAACGGAGACGCGGUCCAGAAUCCUACGGGAGGCAACAGUGGGGAAUAUUGGACAGUGGGCGAAAGCCUGACCCAGCCAUGCCCCGUGUGUGAAGAAGAUCUUCGGAUUGUAAAGCACUUUAAGUUGGGAGGAACAGAAGUAAGUUACUACCUUGCUGUUUUGACGUUACCAACAGAAUAAGCACCGGCUAACUUCGUG
This 484-nucleotide ribosomal RNA is filed under the name uncultured bacterium. Its description in RNAcentral is "partial 16S ribosomal RNA". It matches the Rfam family "Bacterial small subunit ribosomal RNA", at positions 30 to 507 of the family's 1533-position model. The record is from RNAcentral.